RNAcentral lists this ribosomal RNA (2987 nucleotides) under Candidatus Dormiibacterota bacterium. RNAcentral describes it as "bacterial LSU rRNA". The stretch from base 1 to 2248 matches the Rfam family "Bacterial large subunit ribosomal RNA". The record is from RNAcentral. Lineage: Bacteria; Bacillati; Candidatus Dormiibacterota.
CCAAGGGCACACGGUGGAUGCCUUGGCACCAAGAGCCGAUGAAGGACGUAGCGUUGUUGCGAUAAGCCUCGGGUAGCUGCUAGCAAGCACUCGAUCCGGGGAUUUCCGAAUGGGGCAACCCACCUGGAGGAAUGUCCAGGUACUCCCGGUUGAAUAUAUAGACCGGGUAGAGGGCACGCGGAGAACUGAAACAUCUAAGUAUCCGCAGGAAAAGAUGUCAUCCCCUGAGUAGUGGCGAGCGAAAAGGGGUGAGGCUAAACCGAGACGGCGUGAUAGCCGGCAGGCGUUUCCGUCUCGGGGUCGCGGGACCUCAGCGUUCCCUCUGCCGAGGGGACAAGGAGUUACAAAGUCGUUGUCUAGCCGAACGGCAUUGGAAAAGCCGGCCGCAGAGGGUGACAGCCCCGUACGCGAAAGGCACACGACCUCCUUUGAGAGCUCCCAAGUACCACGGAACACGUGGAAUUCUGUGGGAAUCUGGGCGGACCAUCGUCCAAGCCUGAAUACUCUUGGUGACCGAUAGUGAACAAGUACCGUGAGGGAAAGGUGAAAAGCACCCCAGACGGGGAGUUAAAAGUACCUGAAACCGUGUGCUUACAAGCCGUGAGAGGGCUAUGCCCCUAGUGGGAAUGCCUGAUUGCGUGCCUUUUGUAGAAUGAGCCGGCGAGUUACUUCCAUGUGGCGAGGUUAAGGGGUUGACACCCGGAGCCGUAGCGAAAGCGAGUCUGAAUAGGGCGUGACCACCGUAAUGGUGGUGGUAGUCGCAUGGAGUAGACCCGAAACCGAGUGACCUAUCCAUGGUCAGGGUGAAGCGCGGGUAAGACCGCGUGGAAGCCCGAACCGACCCCAGUUGAAAAUGCGGCGGAUGAACUGUGGAUAGCGGUGAAAUGCCAAUCGAACUCGGAUAUAGCUGGUUCUCCUCGAAAUGCAUUUAGGUGCAGCGUCGUCGAUGGGUUUGUGGCCGGUAGAGCACUGAAUGGGCUAGGGGCGAUCACCUCGUUACCAAACCCAACCAAACUCCGAAUGGCAACAAACUUUCCGGCGGCAGUGAGACGGUGGGGGCUAAGCUUCAUCGUCGAAAGGGAAACAGCCCAGACCACCGGCUAAGGUCCCAAAUCGCAAGCUAAGUGGAAAAGGAUGUCACGGUGUCCAGACAACCAGGAUGUGGGCUUAGAGGCAGCCACCAUUUAAAGAGUGCGUAACAGCUCACUGGUCGAAUGUCGUGGCGCCGACAAUGAUCGGGGCUCAAGCUUGCAACCGAAGCCGUGGAUGGCCUUCCUUCACAGGAAGGUCGUGGUAGAGGAGCGUUCUGUUUGCUGCGAAGCCUGACCGUAAGGACGGGUGGAGCGGACAGAAGUGAGAAUGCCGGCACAAGUAGCGAGAAACGCGUGAGAAACGUGUUCGCCGUAAACCUAAGGUUUCCUGGGCUACGUUAAUCGACCCAGGGUCAGUCGGGACCUAAGCCGAGGCCGAAAGGCGUAGGCGAUGGACAGUUGGUCAACAUUCCAACACCGCCGCUGGUUCGUUAUCAGCAAUGGGGGAACGGGGAAGGAUAGGCCUGACGGGGCGACGGUUGUCCCCGACGGAGCCUUGUAGGAGGUCAAGUAGGCAAAUCCGCUUGACGCUAACUCCAAGAAGGAUCCCAAGACACUUUGUGUCGAUGGGGCCGAUUCCAUGCCUCCAAGAAAAGCCUCUAGCGAGAACCACGGCGCCCGUACCGCAGACCGACACAGGUAGGUGGGAAGAGGAUUCCAAGGCGAUCGAGGGAAACGUGGCUAAGGAACUCGGCAAAAUGUCCCCGUAACUUCGGGAGAAGGGGAGCCCUUGGCGGUGAUCCGAUUUACUCGGUGAGCUGACGAGGGCCGCAGAGAAAAGGCCCAUCCGACUGUUUACUAAAAACACAGGUCUCUGCUAAAGCGUAAGCUGACGUAUAGGGGCUGACGCCUGCCCGGUGCCGGAAGGUUAAGUGGAGGAGUGCAAGCUCUGAAAUGAAGCCCCGGUAAACGGCGGCCGUAACUAUCAACAUUGACCGUGGUAGUUAUAAAAUUCGGCUAUAUGCUGGAAUACCCGUCCUUGAAAAGGUGAAGUAUCCCGUGCUAGACGCCGCACUGGUCCUUCUGGAUUCAGUCGACUCUGACAAUGCAACGGGUGCGGGCAAUCAGCAGGAAAGGCUCUCCAUCGCAACCAUCGCAUCAGAUCUAGGCAACUUCCUUGCAGGCUUCGCCCUCGGGGAGGGAAGCUUCAUGAUCGUGUGCCGGCGCCGCGCCGACUACAGAUGUGGAUGGAAGGUUUCCGCAGCAUUCAAUGUCUCCCAGAAUGACAUCGCGCCGCUUGAGCUCUUCCGCAAGACGCUCGGUUGCGGAACGAUACGCAUAGCUGGGAAUGGUGGCUGGUAUUUCGAGGUCAACAACCUCGGAGACAUCCAGGCCGCAGUCGUUCCAUUCUUCCGCCGGUUCCCACUGGUAGGGAGGAAGCAAACUGACUUUGAACUGUUCGCGGAUGCGGCAUCGAUAUUGGCGAAGUCGCCACUCACCGACACGGCGUGUCGAGAGAUUCUCGAGAUUCGAGAGUCGCUCAACGGUGGCGGCAAACGCCGAUACACCAUGGAGAGAAUCCUCAGAGACUAUACGCCGAACCCUUCACGUUGAAGGGAUGAGAUAGUCCGAUCUCAUGGGCGACCAUGAGAGCUGGUAACCAAUCCGGCCACCCCAGGUCCAUUGCCUGGGGGAGCAACAACGAUGAACGGUCCUAAGGUAGGAAAGUAACUGCCUUAGUAAAAUCUGGCUAUAUGCUGGAAAACCCGAGAAUCCCGCGCUACUGCAACGUGCAGUGACAAUGCGACGGGUGCGGACAAUCAGCAGGAAAGACUGCUCGGCGGAGCAGAAUCCUCAGAGACCAUACGCCAGACAGUUCAAAUCGAACUGAAGAUAUGGUCCCAUCUGCAUGGCGACAUGCAGGGAGGUCGUGGAACAACCUCCGCUCAGACGGAA